This 545-nucleotide small RNA is filed under the name Acaulium albonigrescens. RNAcentral's name for it is "eukaryotic LSU rRNA". It matches the Rfam family "Eukaryotic large subunit ribosomal RNA", at positions 50 to 598 of the family's 3401-position model. The record is from RNAcentral. Lineage: Eukaryota; Fungi; Ascomycota; Sordariomycetes; Microascales; Microascaceae.
GCGGAGGAAAAGAAACCAACAGGGAUUGCCUCAGUAACGGCGAGUGAAGCGGCAACAGCUCAAAUUUGAAAUCUGGUCACCUUACGGAGGCCCGAGUUGUAAUUUGAAGAGGAUGCUUUUGGCGAGGUGCCUUCCGAGUGCCCUGGAACGGGACGCCACAGAGGGUGAGAGCCCCGUAUGGUUGGACACCGAGCCUAUGUAAAGCUCCUUCGACGAGUCGAGUAGUUUGGGAAUGCUGCUCAAAAUGGGAGGUAAACCCCUUCUAAAGCUAAAUAUUGGCCAGAGACCGAUAGCGCACAAGUAGAGUGAUCGAAAGAUGAAAAGCACUUUGAAAAGAGAGUUAAACAGCACGUGAAAUUGUUGAAAGGGAAGCGCUUGCGACCAGACUUGCGCCCGUCGGAUCAACCGUCGCUUGUCGGCGGCUCACUCCGGCGGGCUCAGGCCAGCAUCAGUUUUCCCGGGGGGAGAAAGGCGGUGGGAAUGUAGCUCCUAGGAGUGUUAUAGCCCGCCGCGUAAUACCCUCGGGGGGACUGAGGACCGCGCAU